RNAcentral lists this unclassified non-coding RNA (154 nucleotides) under Pleosporales sp. Its description in RNAcentral is "partial internal transcribed spacer 2". The record is from RNAcentral. Lineage: Eukaryota; Fungi; Ascomycota; Dothideomycetes; Pleosporales. RNAcentral also lists the same sequence under 3 other names.
ACACCCUCAAGCUCUGCUUGGUGUUGGGCGUCUGUCCCGCCUCAGCGCGCGGACUCGCCCCAAAUCCAUUGGCAGCGGUCCUUGCCUCCUCUCGCGCAGCACAUUGCGCUUCUCGAGGGGCUCCGGCCCGCGUCCAACAAGAAAACAUUACCGU